CUGCCCUCAAGCACGGCUUGUGUGUUGGGCCACCGUCCCCCCGGGGACGGGCCCGAAAGGCAGCGGCGGCACCGCGUCCGGUCCUCGAGCGUAUGGGGCUUUGUCACCCGCUCUGCAGGCCCGGCCGGCGCUGGCCGACGCUUCGCACCGAAGCAACCAACCUUCUCUCCA
Molecule: unclassified non-coding RNA, 171 nt
Filed under: uncultured Aspergillus
Lineage: Eukaryota; Fungi; Ascomycota; Eurotiomycetes; Eurotiales; Aspergillaceae
Description: sequence contains ITS2
Source: RNAcentral